This 484-nucleotide ribosomal RNA is filed under the name uncultured bacterium. Its description in RNAcentral is "partial 16S ribosomal RNA". It matches the Rfam family "Bacterial small subunit ribosomal RNA", at positions 29 to 507 of the family's 1533-position model. The record is from RNAcentral.
AUUGAACGCUGGCGGAAUGCUUUACACAUGCAAGUCGAACGGCAGCACGGGGGCAACCCUGGUGGCGAGUGGCGAACGGGUGAGUAAUACAUCGGAACGUGCCCGGUCGUGGGGGAUAACGUAGCGAAAGUUACGCUAAUACCGCAUACGAUCUGAGGAUGAAAGCGGGGGACCUUCGGGCCUCGCGCGAUCGGAGCGGCCGAUGUCAGAUUAGGUAGUUGGUGGGGUAAAGGCCUACCAAGCCGACGAUCUGUAGCUGGUCUGAGAGGACGACCAGCCACACUGGGACUGAGACACGGCCCAGACUCCUACGGGAGGCAGCAGUGGGGAAUAUUGGACAAUGGGCGCAAGCCUGAUCCAGCCAUACCGCGUGCAGGACGAAGGCCUUCGGGUUGUAAACUGCUUUUGUAGGGAACGAAAAGGCUCAGGCUAAUACCUGGGUCUCAUGACGGUACCGUAAGAAUAAGCACCGGCUAACUACGUG